This is a non-coding RNA of Xyrichtys novacula (pearly razorfish), 1832 nucleotides long. The record is from the annotation of a GenBank genome assembly. Lineage: Eukaryota; Metazoa; Chordata; Actinopteri; Labriformes; Labridae.
CUCUUUUUUAGUUUUCUUCAGUUUUUUUCUGCCUGUUUUAAUUUUUUUUGUUUUUUCUAUAUAUUUAGGGUGUUUUUUCUGAUAUACUUUUCUUUCUGUUUUUUUAAUUUUGUUUAUACUAUCCUUUCUCUUUUUUUAGUUUUCUUUAGUUUUUUGUCUGCCUGUUUUAAGUUUUUUUUAAGGUUUUUUUCAGUUUUUUGUUAUUUAUAUAUAUAUAUAGGUUGUUCUUUUCUGAAAUACUUUUCCUUCUUUUUUUUAUUUUGUUUAUACUAUCCUUUCUCCUUUUUAGUUUUCUUUAGUUUUUGUCUGCCUGUUUUAAGUUUUUUUUUUAGUUUUUUGAAGUUUUUUUUAGAAAUACUAAUCUUUUUAUUAGUUUUCUUUAGUUUUUUUCUGCCUGUUUUAAUUGUUUUGUUUUUUGUUUCCUUUAGUUUUUUUUUCUUCAGUUUUUUUUACCUAUUUUUUUGCCUGGCACCUCUUUCUUGAUGAGCUACUCUUAGUCUGGUCCCUCCCCCAGGACCUGCUGCCUUGGGUAACCUUUCAGAGGCAUAAAGCCCUGACAACAUAGCUCCUGGGAUCAUUGGGACACACAAACCCCUCCACCACGGUAAGGUGGUAGCUCAAGGAGGGGAAAAAACCCUCACAUGGGAGGGAAAAACCGCAAGGGUUUUUUUUUCUGUGCAAAACACCCGGUUUAGGGUGGGUUUUUGUUCUUUUUUUUCAGAAAUACUUUUCAUUUCUUUAGUUUCCUAUAGUUCUUUUUUAUUUUUCUGCCUGUUUUAAGUUUUUUUUUCAGAAAUACUGUGAUGUUUCUUUUUUUUUUAGUUUUUUUUUAUGAAUACUAUUCUUUUUCUCAGUUUUCUUUAGUUUUUUUUGUCAUUUAUAAAUAUUAAGGGUUUUCCUUUCUGAAAUACUUUUCCUUCUGUUUUUUUAUUUUGUUUAUACUAUCCUUUCUCUUUUUUAGUUUUCUUUAGUAUUUUCUACCUGUUUUAAGUUUUUUUUUUGUUUUUUUUGUUUUUUCUAUAUAUUUAGGGUGUUUUUUUCUGAAAUACUUUUCCUUCUGUUUUUUUUAUUUUGUUUAUACUAUCCUUUCUCUUUUUUAGUUUUCUUUAGUUUUUUUCUGCCUGUUUUAAGUUUUUUUUGUUUUUUCUAUAUAUUUAGGGUGUUUUAUCAGAAAUACUUUUCCUUCUGUUUUUUUUAUUUUGUUUAUACUAUCCUUUCUCUUUUUUAGUUUUCUUUAGUUUUUUUCUGCCUGUUUUAAGUUUUUUUUAGUUUUUUUAGUUUUUUAGUUUUUUCUAUAUAUUUAGGGUGUUUUUUCUGAAAUACUUUUCCUUCUGUUUUUUUUAUUUUUUUUAUACUAUCCUUUCUCUUUCUUUAAUUUUCUUUAGUUUUUUGUCUGCCUGUUUUAAGUGUUUUUUUUUAUUUUUUAAAGUUUUUUUUUAGAAAUACUAUUCUUUUUCUUCUUUUUUUAGUUUUCUUUAGUUUUAUUCUGCCUGUUUUUAAGGGUUUUUUUAGGUUUUUUUCAGUUUUUUGUUAUUUAUAUAUAUAAACAACCUGUUUUAAGGUUGUUUUUUAGUUUUUUUCUUGUUGUUAUUUAUAUAUAUUAAGGGUGUUCUUUUCUGAAAUACUUUUCCUUCUUUUUUUUCAUUUUGUUUAUAAUAUCCUUUCUCUUUUUUAGUUUUCUUUAGUUUUUUUCUGCCUGUUUUAAGUUUUUUUUUUUUUUUUUUUUCUAUAUAUUUAGGGUGUUUUUUUUCUCAAAUACUAUUCUUUUUCUCCUUUUUUUAGUUUUCUUUAGUUUUAUUCUGCCUGUUUUUAAGGUUUUUUUUUAGUUUUUU